Molecule: ribosomal RNA, 253 nt
Filed under: uncultured bacterium
Lineage: Bacteria
Description: partial 16S ribosomal RNA
Rfam family: Bacterial small subunit ribosomal RNA
Source: RNAcentral
UACGUAGGGGGCGAGCGUUGUCCGGAAUCAUUGGGCGUAAAGCGCGUGUAGGCGGCUCGAUAAGUCCGGUGUGAAACCUUGGGGCUCAACCCCAAGCCUGCACUGGAUACUGUCGAGCUAGAGUCCAGUAGGGGAGCGUGGAAUUCCUGGUGUAGCGGUGAAAUGCGCAGAUAUCAGGAGGAACACCAGCGGCGAAGGCGGCGCUCUGGGCUGGAACUGACGCUGAGGAGCGAAAGCGUGGGGAGCGAACAGG